Long non-coding RNA from Gallus gallus (chicken), 476 nucleotides. The record is from Ensembl. NCBI's taxonomy places the organism in Eukaryota, Metazoa, Chordata, Aves, Galliformes, Phasianidae.
AUGUGAGCAUCACCUGUGCGGACCUGGCGCUGAAAACAAUCAUCAUACCAAAUGACAGAACAAUUAGCGUUGCCAGCAGAGAAAAUAGUAAGUGAACCAACCAAAGGCCAGUGUGUUUAUUUUCCCACUCAGAGACAUCGUCUUCCCAGGUGGGGACUCUGAAAACAUUCCUGCUGAAGCUGACACGGUUUUUACUUCAGUGAGGGACUGGUCUGUUCCAAGCAGGAAAUUAACCCAAACUUUAAGAGAAAGCAACACAAGCUGCUGAACAUACAAAGCUGAUAAAACAGAGUGUCUGUAACGUUAGAAAAACUGCACGCUCUCAUAUUCUGCAAGAGGAGACUUACAAAUAGCACCACUCAACCAUUUAACCAAACUGCAAAAUGAACUCAGAGUCAUUACGCUAUCUAAACAUCCUCUCUAACUUGUCUGCAGUUUCCAAAUGCUGCUUUGGAUAAACUUAGUACUGCAAGUAA